RNAcentral lists this ribosomal RNA (468 nucleotides) under uncultured bacterium. RNAcentral's name for it is "partial 16S ribosomal RNA". It matches the Rfam family "Bacterial small subunit ribosomal RNA", at positions 28 to 507 of the family's 1533-position model. The record is from RNAcentral.
GACGAACGCUGGCGGCGUGCUUAACACAUGCAAGUCGAACGGAAAGGCCCUGCUUUUGUGGGGUGCUCGAGUGGCGAACGGGUGAGUAACACGUGAGUAACCUGCCCUUGACUUUGGGAUAACUUCAGGAAACUGGGGCUAAUACCGGAUAGGAGCUCCUGCUGCAUGGUGGGGGUUGGAAAGUUUCGGCGGUUGGGGAUGGACUCGCGGCUUAUCAGCUUGUUGGUGGGGUAGUGGCUUACCAAGGCUUUGACGGGUAGCCGGCCUGAGAGGGUGACCGGCCACAUUGGGACUGAGAUACGGCCCAGACUCCUACGGGAGGCAGCAGUGGGGAAUAUUGCGCAAUGGGCGGAAGCCUGAUGCAGCAACGCCGCGUGCGGGAUGACGGCCUUCGGGUUGUAAACCGAUUUCGCCUGUGACGAAGCGUGAGUGACGGUAAUGGGUAAAGAAGCACCGGCUAACUACGUG